AUAUGCUUGUCUCAAAGAUUAAGCCAUGCAUGUCUAAGUAUAAGCACUUUAUACUGUGAAACUGCGAAUGGCUCAUUAAAUCAGUUAUCGUUUAUUUGAUAGUACCUUACUACAUGGAUACCUGUGGUAAUUCUAGAGCUAAUACAUGCUGAAAACCUCGACUUCGGAAGGGGUGUAUUUAUUAGAUAAAAAACCAAUGCCCUUCGGGGCUCCUUGGUGAAUCAUAAUAACUUAACGAAUCGCAUGGCCUUGCGCCGGCGAUGGUUCAUUCAAAUUUCUGCCCUACCAACUUUCGAUGGUAGGAUAGUGGCCUACCAUGGUGGCAACGGGUAACGGGGAAU
This 341-nucleotide ribosomal RNA is filed under the name uncultured fungus. RNAcentral describes it as "SSU rRNA". It matches the Rfam family "Eukaryotic small subunit ribosomal RNA", at positions 26 to 370 of the family's 1831-position model. Lineage: Eukaryota; Fungi. The record is from RNAcentral.